CUAUGCGCCUUGCCAGCCCGCUCAGGUGUGCCAGCCGCCGCGGUAAUACGUAGGUGGCAAGCGUUAUCCGGAUUUAUUGGGCGUAAAGCGAGCGCAGGCGGUUGCUUAGGUCUGAUGUGAAAGCCUUCGGCUUAACCGAAGAAGUGCAUCGGAAACCGGGCGACUUGAGUGCAGAAGAGGACAGUGGAACUCCAUGUGUAGCGGUGGAAUGCGUAGAUAUAUGGAAGAACACCAGUGGCGAAGGCGGCUCUCUGGUCUGCAACUGACGCUGAGGCUCGAAAGCAUGGGUAGCGAACAGG
Molecule: ribosomal RNA, 299 nt
Filed under: uncultured bacterium
Lineage: Bacteria
Description: partial 16S ribosomal RNA
Rfam family: Bacterial small subunit ribosomal RNA
Source: RNAcentral